UCAUCUGCCAGUGGGAGCCAGGACCUGAGACCCACCUACCCACCAGCUUCACUCUGAAGAGUUUCAAGAGCCGGGGCAACUGUCAGACCCAAGGGGACUCCAUCCUGGACUGCGUGCCCAAGGACGGGCAGAGCCACUGCUGCAUCCCACGCAAACACCUGCUGUUGUACCAGAAUAUGGGCAUCUGGGUGCAGGCAGAGAAUGCGCUGGGGACCAGCAUGUCCCCACAACUGUGUCUUGAUCCCAUGGAUGUUGGUGGGUGAUGCAGGGGAGGGAGGGGAUCCCCAAAAUGGGCAGACACUGAGAGGAAUGGAGAGGGAA
Molecule: long non-coding RNA, 321 nt
Filed under: Homo sapiens (human)
Lineage: Eukaryota; Metazoa; Chordata; Mammalia; Primates; Hominidae
Description: non-protein coding lnc-MRPS15-1:2
Source: RNAcentral